RNAcentral lists this non-coding RNA (733 nucleotides) under Sinocentrus brevicornis. Lineage: Eukaryota; Metazoa; Arthropoda; Insecta; Hemiptera; Membracidae. The record is from RNAcentral.
AUUUAAAGUUUGAUUCUAGUUAAUUUCUUGGUUUUUAUAAUAAGUUAUAUAUAUUUAUUUAAAGUUUUUAUUUUAUAGUAAUUAAGAUUUAUUUAUUUUUGGUUAAAAUUAGGUGAUUAUUUUAAUAAUUGAUUAAUUUUGUGCCAGCAAUCGCGGUUAUACAUUUUAAUUAAAAUUAAGUGUUUUAGUUUUAAUUAUUUUUUUUUUUGAUUAUUAUUUUUUUUAUUUAGGUGAAAUUUAUAUUAUAUUUUUAUUUCUAUUUUAAAGUUAUUUUAUAUUUAGGUUUAAAAGUAGGAUUAGAUACCCUGUUACUCUGAAUUUAAGUUUAAGCUUGAAUAAAAGUAGUAGAUCUUCAUAACUCAAAGAAUUUGGCGGUUAAUUUUAAGUUUCAGGGGAAUCUGAUUAUUAAUUGAUAAACCACGAUAGUUUAUACUUUUUAUUUACUUGUAUAUCUCUAUAUUGUGAAUGUUUUUUUAGAAUUAUUUUCUUUUAAAUUUAUAUUAAUAAUAUUAGGUCAAGGUGUAGUUAUUAAAAUAGAUUAUUUGGAUUACUUUAGUUUUAAUUUUAAUUUUAAUUGUAAUUGUUUUUUUAUGAUUAUUUAGAAUUUGAUAGUAAAUUAACAUAAUAUUUUUUAUUGAAUUUAAAUUGAUUAGUGCACAUAUUGCCCGUCACUCCUAUUUUAGGAUAAGUCGUAACAUAGUAACCCCACCGGAAGGUGGGGUUAGAUAAUCAU